AUUGAACGCUGGCGGCAGGCUUAACACAUGCAAGUCGAGCGGGGAAGGUUGCUUCGGUAACUGACCUAGCGGCGGACGGGUGAGUAAUGCUUAGGAAUCUGCCUAUUAGUGGGGGACAACAUUCCGAAAGGGAUGCUAAUACCGCAUACGUCCUACGAGAGAAAGCAGGGGAGCAUUUGACCUUGCGCUAAUAGAUGAGCCUAAGUCGGAUUAGUUAGUUGGUAGGGUAAAGGCCUACCAAGGCGACGAUCUGUAGCGGGUCUGAGAGGAUGAUCCGCCACACUGGGACUGAGACACGGCCCAGACUCCUACGGGAGGCAGCAGUGGGGAAUAUUGGACAAUGGGGGGAACCCUGAUCCAGCCAUGCCGCGUGUGUGAAGAAGGCCUUUUGGUUGUAAAGCACUUUAAGCGAGGAGGAGGCUCUCUUGGUUAAUACCUGAGAAGAGUGGACGUUACUCGCAGAAUAAGCACCGGCUAACUCUGUGCCAGCCGCCGCCGUAA
RNAcentral lists this ribosomal RNA (501 nucleotides) under uncultured bacterium. Its description in RNAcentral is "partial 16S ribosomal RNA". It matches the Rfam family "Bacterial small subunit ribosomal RNA", at positions 30 to 523 of the family's 1533-position model. The record is from RNAcentral.